RNAcentral lists this transfer RNA (40 nucleotides) under Stenocranius gregalis (narrow-headed vole). Its description in RNAcentral is "partial tRNA-His". Lineage: Eukaryota; Metazoa; Chordata; Mammalia; Rodentia; Cricetidae. The record is from RNAcentral.
CUGUGAAUCUGAAGAUAGGACAUAACCAUCCUUAUUUACC